AGAUUAAGAUAUUUCAAGACUAAGCUUCUAACUUAAGUCUUAAGCAGUGUAAUUCUGUUUUUAAUCUU
Molecule: transfer RNA, 68 nt
Filed under: Odoiporus longicollis (banana stem weevil)
Lineage: Eukaryota; Metazoa; Arthropoda; Insecta; Coleoptera; Curculionidae
Description: tRNA-Ser
Source: RNAcentral